Molecule: ribosomal RNA, 745 nt
Filed under: uncultured bacterium
Lineage: Bacteria
Description: bacterial SSU rRNA
Rfam family: Bacterial small subunit ribosomal RNA
Source: RNAcentral
GAUGAACGCUAGCGGCAGGCUUAAUACAUGCAAGUCGAGGGGCAGCAUGAGUGUAGCAAUACAUUUGAUGGCGACCGGCAAACGGGUGCGGAACACGUACAGAACCUUCCUUCAAGCGGGGAAUAGCCCAGAGAAAUUUGGAUUAAUACCCCAUAGUAUAGCGGAGAGGCAUCUCUUUGUUAUUAAAGAUUUAUCACUUGAAGAUGGCUGUGCGCCUGAUUAGGUAGUUGGCGGGGUAACGGCCCACCAAGCCUUCGAUCAGUAACUGGUGUGAGAGCACGACCAGUCACACGGGCACUGAGACACGGGCCCGACUCCUACGGGAGGCAGCAGUAAGGAAUAUUGGUCAAUGGACGAAAGUCUGAACCAGCCAUGCCGCGUGGAGGAUGAAGGGUCCUCUGGAUUGUAAACUUCUUUUUAUAUGGGACGAAAAAUGGGUUUUCUAACUCGACUGACGGUACCAUAUGAAUAAGCACCGGCUAACUCCGUGCCAGCAGCCGCGGUAAUACGGAGGGUGCAAGCGUUAUCCGGAUUCACUGGGUUUAAAGGGUGCGUAGGUGGAUUGCCAAGUCCGUGGUGAAAUCUCCGAGCUUAACUCGGAAACUGCCGUGGAUACUGGUAGUCUUGAAUAUCGUGGAGGUCAGCGGAAUAUGUCAUGUAGCGGUGAAAUGCUUAGAUAUGACAUAGAACACCAAUUGCGAAGGCAGCUGGCUACGCGAAUAUUGACACUGAGGCACGAAAGCGU